RNAcentral lists this unclassified non-coding RNA (192 nucleotides) under Amphiodon effusus. RNAcentral describes it as "internal trancribed spacer 2". The record is from RNAcentral. Lineage: Eukaryota; Viridiplantae; Streptophyta; Magnoliopsida; Fabales; Fabaceae.
AUCGUUGCCCCAAAAAAGACGGCGCCUCAUCGCAGGAGCCGGGCUGGGUGAAUGUUGGCUUCCCGGGAGCAUCGUCUCGCGGUUGGCUGAAAGACGAGCCUGUGAUGGAGUGCACUGCGACGGAUGGUGGGUGAGGGAAAGCUCGAGGCCAGUCGCGCGCGUCGCGCUUCCCCCUUUUGGGCUAAUUGACCC